GAUGAACGCUGGCGGCGUGCCUAAUACAUGCAAGUCGAGCGAACGGACGAGAAGCUUGCUUUUCUGAUGUUAGCGGCGGACGGGUGAGUAACACGUGGAUAACCUACCUAUAAGACUGGGAUAACUUCGGGAAACCGGAGCUAAUACCGGAUAAUAUUUUGAACCGCAUGGUUCAAAAGUGAAAGACGGUCUUGCUGUCACUUAUAGAUGGAUCCGCGCUGCAUUAGCUAGUUGGUAAGGUAACGGCUUACCAAGGCAACGAUGCAUAGCCGACCUGAGAGAGUGAUCGGCCACACUGGAACUGAGACACGGUCCAAACUCCUACGGGAGGCAGCAGUAGGGAAUCUUCCACGAUGGGCGAAAGCCUAACGGAGCAACGCCGCGUGAGUGAUGAAGGUCUUCGGGUCGUAAAACUCUGUUAUUAGGGAAGAACAUAUGUGUAAGUAACUGUGCACAUCUUGACGGUACCUAAUCAGAAAGCCACGGCUAACUACGUG
Molecule: ribosomal RNA, 497 nt
Filed under: uncultured bacterium
Lineage: Bacteria
Description: partial 16S ribosomal RNA
Rfam family: Bacterial small subunit ribosomal RNA
Source: RNAcentral